UUGAACGCUGGCGGAAUGCUUUACACAUGCCAGUCGAACGGCAGCACGGGGGCAACCCUGGUGGCGAGUGGCGAACGGGUGAGUAAUACAUCGGAACGUGCCCGGUCGUGGGGGAUAACGUAGCGAAAGUUACGCUAAUACCGCAUACGAUCUGAGGAUGAAAGCGGGGGACCUUCGGGCCUCGCGCGAUCGGAGCGGCCGAUGUCAGGUUAGGUAGUUGGUGGGGUAAAGGCCUACCAAGCCGACGAUCUGUAGCUGGUCUGAGAGGACGACCAGCCACACUGGGACUGAGACACGGCCCAGACUCCUACGGGAGGCAGCAGUGGGGAAUUUUGGACAAUGGGCGCAAGCCUGAUCCAGCCAUUCCGCGUGCAGGACGAAGGCCUUCGGGUUGUAAACUGCUUUUGUAUGGAACGAAAAGGCUCUGGCUAAUACCUGGGGCUCAUGACGGUACCGUAAGAAUAAGCACCGGCUAACUACGUG
Molecule: ribosomal RNA, 483 nt
Filed under: uncultured bacterium
Lineage: Bacteria
Description: partial 16S ribosomal RNA
Rfam family: Bacterial small subunit ribosomal RNA
Source: RNAcentral